UACGUAGGGGGCUAGCGUUGUCCGGAUUUAUUGGGCGUAAAGAGCGCGUAGGCGGCCAUGUAGGUCCGGUGUGAAAACUCGAGGCUUAACCUCGAGAUGUCAUCGGAAACCAUUUGGCUAGAGUCCGGAAGAGGAGAGUGGAAUUCCACGUGUAGCGGUGAAAUGCGUAGAGAUGUGGAGGAACACCAGUGGCGAAGGCGACUUACUGGGCUGUAACUGACGCUGAGGCGCGAAAGCGUGGGGAGCAAACAGG
RNAcentral lists this ribosomal RNA (253 nucleotides) under uncultured bacterium. RNAcentral describes it as "partial 16S ribosomal RNA". It matches the Rfam family "Bacterial small subunit ribosomal RNA", at positions 524 to 776 of the family's 1533-position model. The record is from RNAcentral.